GAGGGUAUUGCUCAGUGGUAGAGAGCGUGCUUGGCACACACGGGGUCCUGGGUUUGAUCCCCAGUAGCCCCA
Camelus ferus (Wild Bactrian camel) is the source of this 72-nucleotide transfer RNA. It matches the Rfam family "tRNA". From Rfam's summary of the family: Transfer RNA (tRNA) molecules are approximately 80 nucleotides in length. Their secondary structure includes four short double-helical elements and three loops (D, anti-codon, and T loops). Lineage: Eukaryota; Metazoa; Chordata; Mammalia; Artiodactyla; Camelidae. The record is from Rfam.